AAUUUAAGAAGCAACUUUGAUCAUAUUUUGCAUUUUAUUGUGUCAUGUAGCGUGGGGUGCUGGUUUUGGUCUUGACUCGGUCUCAGAUCCUAAAAGUCUCGAUACACUCUGGUCUUGACUUGGUCUUGGGUUAAGUGGUCUUGACAAUAACAUUAAUGUCAAGGUGUCAUAACGAAGACAUUUUUAUCUAGGUUAAUAACUUAGAUAUAGCUCAGAAAAUUAGGUUUUCUGAACUAUUGCAACAGAAAACACUGACCUAAUCAGUAGGUCAGUGUUGCAAUACAUCAGCUGUGUUACUGGGAGCCAAAGCACCCACAGCCAUCCAGAGCGUCGCCAUGGUAACUGCAUGAUAAUUGACAUAUUAAAUGGAAAUAUAUUGGUGAAAUUACAAUUUCAGAAACAUCCAUGUUAAAAAUGUGAAAAAAAUCAAAGUAAAUUUGUACAUUUGUAGAAAUCCAGCCUUUAAUUUGAGUACAUUUACUAAGUGAGGAAAAAGUCCACCACUUUUUGUGUUGUUUUGAUAUUUUUCUUUGGUAUCCAACCAUUUGUUGUUGGACUGGUUGAAGGCUUUAUAGCACUGAUUAAGCAAAUACUUUUACUAUUAACACUUUUUAGGUACAAUUUAUAGCAUUACAGGGAAGAGCUGUUAUGGAAACCACAAAUAAUUAAAAACAAGCUCUUUAAUUCACUAGAUCAAACUUAAAAAUGAAGGUGCUAUACUAGUUAAUACAAGAUCUCACUCAGCGUUACUGGCACGAUAGACAUUUUGAACUUAUAAUUUGUCUAGUGAGCAUUAUUAGUAGUGUUUGUUGCCACAAAGAAGCUUUACUCAAUCAAUAAAGAUUCUGGGCUUCGGGGUGUAGUGGUCAGAGCAGGGGCCCCACAUACGUAGGCAACAGACUUGUCCCUAGUUUGGUACCCUUUUUGCCCCUCUUCUUGUCAGAUUACUUCUAAAUGAAGGCCACUAGAGCUGAACGAAAUUUAUUGGAUAUUUUAAACUUUUUUAACAAAUAAAAGGCAAAGUGGGACGUGCAAUAUUAUCAACCCUUUUAAUUUCAGUGCAGCAAACUCACUCCAGAAGUUCAGUGAGGAUUUCUGAAUGAUUCAAUGUUGUUCUAAUUAACUGAUGAUGAUGAUAAAUAGAAUCCACCUGAGUGUAAUCAAGUCCACCUGCUCUCUGAUGGUCUCAGGGUUGUUUUUAAAGUGCAGAGAGCAAGGAAGGAAGGAGCAAGGAACACACCGACAUACUGUUGUGGAGAAGUUUAAAGCCGGAUUUGGAUAUAAAAAUAUUUCCCUAGCUUAAAACAUCUCAAGGAGCACUGAGCAAGUGAUCGUAUUGAAAUGGAAAGAGUAUCAGACAGCUGCAAAUCUACCAAGACCCAGACGACCCUCUAAAAUUUAAUCUCGAACAAGGAGAAGACUGAUCAGAGAUGCAGCCAAGAGGUUCAUGAUCACUGUGGAUGAACUACAGAGAUCUACAGCUGAGGCGGGAGAGUCUGUCCAUAAGACAACAAUCAGUGGUACACUGGACAAAUCUGACCUUUAUGGGAGAGUGGGAAGAAGAAUUCCAUUUCUCAAAGAUAUCCAUAACAAGUCUUGUUUAAAGUUUGCCACAAGCCACCUGGGAGACACGGCAAAGAAGUUGAAGAGUGGAAGAAGUUGCUCUUUGAGGUCACAAGGAAAGGAGCCACAGCCAAAUACCUCCAACGAAUAAGGCAAGUCCUGAGAAGCCAGCUCAAUGGCAAGAACAAGAUCCCUGCUAUAAACGGCUAUGCUUUACCAGUAAUCAGAUGCCCUGCAGGAAUAAUUAGCUGGCCAACGGAGGAGAUAAAGACCACGGAUGUUAAGACCCGGAAGCUACUAACCACGUAUGGAGGGUUCCACCUGUAACCCGUAAUUAGUCAAUUAGUCAGACUUUUAUUUUUACGGGCCCACUUUCUGUUUUGCCCCCAAACUCUUCAACUUAUUUAAAGUCCCGCCUCCAGCGCAGUUUAAAACACCACCUGUUUCACUGUGAUUGUGGCUGGCUGUUGGCGUCUUGCUGAUCAUCUCUCCUUGGAAAAUUCACCCAAAUCUCUGAAACUGAUUUGAACUAUUGAACUGUGGCAGUUGUUACCUGGGCUGUCACCAGGAUUCAGCUGAUCGCAGUCUAGCAUUCUCGGCUCAAAGGUCGGGUUUUUUUGAUGGAUCAGAUUCUCAGAUCCUCUUCUGAGCAAAGGAUGGCGAGCUAAGGACAAGAACUUUGAUCUUUUGAAUUGAUUUAUUUUGAAUUGAUUUGACCCUCAUUGUGUAUUAAUUGUUUGUUGUUUUUUUCCCCCAAUCACCAAUACAAAAACACCAAAACUAAAACAGUGAUUGUGUCUUUAUUCACACCUUAGGCUCCUUCAAGAACCAUCUUCUGAUGCUGCUUUUGUAGCCGCAGUUAGCUGCGUAGCCCAUAACUGUUACACACCCCAAAUCCAGCACCCUGAGACUGUACACGAGCCGUAAGGAAGGAGGCAGAGGACUAGUGAGUGUGAUAGCCACUGUCCAGGAUAAAACAUCCAAGAUCCAUAAAUGCAUCAAGGACAAAGCCUCAACAGAUGAUGUGCUCAGUGAAUGUCUCAGACAAUAGGGAACAGAAGAUGAGGUACUAGAGGUACCAUCAUGGGAGGACAAGCCCCUACAUGGGA
Poecilia reticulata (guppy) is the source of this 2672-nucleotide non-coding RNA. NCBI's taxonomy places the organism in Eukaryota, Metazoa, Chordata, Actinopteri, Cyprinodontiformes, Poeciliidae. The record is from RefSeq and is a predicted model, not a curated record.